AGUCGAGCGAACAGAUAAGGAGCUUGCUCCUUUGACGUUAGCGGCGGACGGGUGAGUAACACGUGGAUAACCUACCUAUAAGACUGGGAUAACUUCGGGAAACCGGAGCUAAUACCGGAUAAGAUUUUGAACCGCAUGGUUCAAUAGUGAAAGACGGCCUUGCUGUCACUUAUAGAUGGAUCCGCGCCGUAUUAGCUAGUUGGUAAGGUAACGGCUUACCAAGGCAACGAUACGUAGCCGACCUGAGAGGGUGAUCGGCCACACUGGAACUGAGACACGGUCCAGACUCCUACGGGAGGCAGCAGUAGGGAAUCUUCCGCAAUGGGCGAAAGCCUGACGGAGCAACGCCGCGUGAGUGAUGAAGGUCUUCGGAUCGUAAA
RNAcentral lists this ribosomal RNA (380 nucleotides) under Staphylococcus aureus. RNAcentral's name for it is "bacterial SSU rRNA". It matches the Rfam family "Bacterial small subunit ribosomal RNA", at positions 60 to 429 of the family's 1533-position model. The record is from RNAcentral. Lineage: Bacteria; Bacillati; Bacillota; Bacilli; Caryophanales; Staphylococcaceae.